This is a long non-coding RNA of Lytechinus pictus (painted urchin), 4018 nucleotides long. RefSeq lists it as uncharacterized. The record is from RefSeq and is a predicted model, not a curated record. NCBI's taxonomy places the organism in Eukaryota, Metazoa, Echinodermata, Echinoidea, Temnopleuroida, Toxopneustidae. The transcript has 2 exons.
UCGAUGGAUGGAUAUAUAAUGAAGAAUACGUAGCAUUCUCCAAGCUCCUGCAUUGAGAUCAUUCAUUUACUAUGAACCCCCUACUCUGUUGAUAUUGUGUAAUCUCAUCAUUGGUGAUAACUGACAGCUAUUGAUGCUGACAGUAAACAUUUUGUGAUUUUCUAUUUCCUAGUGGAUGCUACGCGACAACGACUGAGUUGGAGAGUCUUCCCCGUUUCGUUUUCACACUCUUUCAUACUGCGUGGAUCAGAGCGAUCAAUGGCUAAGUCAAUGGCAGUGUCCAUGUUCAAGCACUUUAACGACUACAAGGCAAGCCGAAUGUGAACCUCCCUCAUUCUCCUCUCUGUUUUUCUCUCACGCACAUUGAUGUCUUCCCAUUAUGCCCAUCAAACUGCACGAUUCAAUGGUGUGUUUCCAUUUAAAAUCGCUUUCGAUUUUCAUUUUAAUUUCAUCCUAAGCUCAUUUAUGUACACAUGCUAUUCCGGGAAGUCGCAGAACUCCACGUGCCUUUUUAUGGCUAAUGGGGUGUUGCAAGAAAAUAUUUGCGAUUAAUUGCAAAUGUUCUGUUGGAACUUUACAACUGAAAGAUCAACGCUAGCUGUAGCAAAUCAGAUUAAACUUCUUGUUUUCAAGGAGCAGUUCAGUAAUCAAUCACUGAUUUGCAAUUAACUGCAAGACAUAUGAUUGAUUUAGGGACCAAAAAUAGACUUGCAAUUGAUCGCAAAAUUGAUCGCAAGUUUCUUGCAACACCCCAUUAGUGGCUGCCUUGCAAAUUCCGUCCAAAGAAAAUUGAAGUAAAUUUUACUAAAAGAAAAUUAGAAAAAAUAUGAAUGAUGGUGAUGACAAGAUUGAAAAAUUCCUGGAUUAAAUGGUCCAAAUUUAAUUUCAAAGCAACAUUUUCAUUUAGUUGUUCAGCGAAUGGAUUUUUUUUCAAUUUUACAAAAACAGUGUUUUCUAGCAAAAAAUGUAAUUCAAGUUAGAUUCAACUUAUUAUUAUUGUUGCAGGUGGAAGGUAAGGGAAUGGUUAAUUUAAAUCUGCUCAUACAUUUGUUUUUGCUGGAACACACUGUACAUUUAGUGGUACAUAUUAUACAAAAAUGAUAUGUUAUGUCAACACUAGUGGCAUGAGUGGUGAUAAAAAAAAUGAUUCUUUUAAUGUGAAGUUUUCAAAAUACUUGUGUGUGUGUCUAUUUGAUUUAUUAAAAAAACUUUAUUGCUGCUCAUUUUUGAUAGUGAUAUGUGGUGCCUACGUGUAAUUUCAAACUUGGAAACGAUACAUAUAUGUUUUUGUGUUUCUAGUGAAUUUUGAGAAUGUAUAUUUUGUACAAAAGGCAAUCUCAUUGUGAGAAAGUGUUCCUUACAUUGAGCCAUGGGCGUUCAUUUAUCAUAUGAAUUCAACUGACAUGUGUUUGGACAUACAUGUAUAAGCCCUCCAUACACUGCAUAAUCUGAUACGAUGCGAUUUUUGAACAAAUUACAUUUUGCAUUAAGGUUGAAAGUUCCAAGAAGUAAAAUAUUUUAAAUUUGAAGUUCAGCAUAAUGCUCUGAAUUAAUACUAAAAUGACAAUUUACUGCAAGCCUUGUGGCUGGAGAAAAAGUCCAGAUCUGCUUCAAUUAAGAUUUGGAAUUUAGUUUGUUGUUAUUCCUACAGGGAGUCUUGAUUUGAUUUCAGUAUUCAUCAGCUAUUUAGAAAUUUGAUUUUAAGAUUUUAUAGAUUGGAAUGUCCAUAAUUAUCAAAUGCAUUAUAUCACAUUUUCUUUGAAAAUCGGUUAGCAACGGAUUGUGUAGUGUGCUCUGGGCUUUACUCUAUUAAGAGAAAGGGAAAAAAAAGAAGCGAAGUUGAAAUAUUAAUUCUGUUGUUUGUUUGCCUUUAGUUAUUUUGAUUUAUUCAAAACGAUAUUAUCAGCAAGAGCAAUCACAUUUGAUAUUUGCUAUGAUUAACUCAUACAUGUUCAUGCUAGCUCUGUGGACUAGUUUCGUUAAGUUAGAUCUCCAUCAGCAACUCCAACGUCAUUUUGUAGAUUAACCCAAUGCAUGCCUCAUAAAGCGAAAUAGUCAUUAUUCAACAGUAAUUAUUUUGUUUAAAAAUUCAUUCUUUGCAUGCAGUUGCCUGCCCUCAUUUGCAACUCAUAUAAAAUAUUCAUUAUCAUUGCAUUUUUUUUCUGUAUCAACACCUCUCUGCUCUGCAUGGUUCAUGUAUGUUGAUGGCUUUAUGUAGCGUUUGACUUAAAACUGUGUGUUCCUUUUUGAAAUAAUUUAAUAAUGCAUGUAUUGCAUGGGUCUAGUUUUCAUGCUGUAGAAAUGCUUCUUUUGGAGGGAGGGGCUGCUUAAAAACUUGCACGCAAGGAUAGAAUACAUGUAUUCCUAUAGAUUAAAAUUAUAGUCAAUUUUGCAGAUUAAAUCUAAUGUAUUAUGGGAGAAAUGCUGCUACAUUUCUUGAUAAAACUUGCAUGAAAUUUUUAUUUUUUGAAUGCAUGAAAUGCAACUUUCAGUUUUUGCUUGUAGUUUUUCGCACAUUGUGCUUUUGAUUUUGUUAGUGUUUUGCGGUAGUGUUAUAUUUCAUGUUUAUACUGUGAUAUUUAGAAAGUUAUUCUUUUUUAGUUUUUAUAUAUUUCUUCCAAUGUGCUUAAAAAAAAAUUAUAAUCCUAAUCUGGUCAUUGUCGUGUUGACCACAAGAUUCUGAAAAAAUGAAUAUCACAUUAUUUUUCUGCUGAUUUAACCUGGGCAUUUAUAGAAUGAUAUAUAAUCCAUCUUCAAUUUAGCAUUCCUAAUUGCUUAACGUCUUAUACAGGUGUGCAAAUGAAUCUAUACAAUUAUUUAAUCAUUUAUCUCCGUGGUUUAAUAAUUGCACCGAUGCAAUUGUGUUGUUUAACAUAUGGAGUUGUUAUGAAGAAAAACAGAGUCUACUACAUGUAUUAGCACAUUGUGGGACUAUUGAAAUCCAUCCCUGCAUCUUGCCUUCUGCGUUUCAAAUUGAAAGUCUUCAUGGUCUGAUAUGUCAAUCUAUGACGGUAUCCUGGCACAUGUGGGUGUGAGAAUUAGAUUAGCAUUCAUAGAUCUUGACCGUAAUGAAUUCACGCUGAAAACGGGCAUGAACUUGUGCGGCAUUCAACGUGCAUGAUUAAUGUGAUCAGGGUCUCCCCAAGGAACUAUGUUCUUCUCAUUUUGAUAAUAUUUUGUAGGUCUUGCAUAGGUAUAGGUGAUUCCUGAUAGGGAAUGUAAAACUAUUGUGUAUUUUGGAAAAGAGGAGGUAAAGGAUAUGAUUUGGGGGGGGGGGUUUACUAUGGGAUGCAAUGAAAAUUGAAAAAAGAAAAGUUAUUAGGCAGAAAUAAGAGAAAUAUAGGAAUACAGAAAAGAAAAGACAAAAGGAGGGCAGUGAGGGAGAAAUAAAUUUGUUUACAGAAUAGUGAGAGAAAAAAAAAAUCGAGAGAGAAAGGGGGGGGGGGGCAGACAGAAGGGGGAUGAAGAAAGAAGAGGACUAUGUGAGAAUUAUUAAGAUAAUCUUUUUUACAGCAUUAAACAAAGUUGAACAAUGCCAUUUUCAGAACAAAUUUUUAAACAAUUUGAUGGAGGGUUGUCCAUAUUAAAUUUGUGCAUCACAUUUUAGGAGAUCAAUAUUAAAGACCCUGACCGGUGUAAAAACAAUCAUAUAUCAAAAUAAAGGUAAUGAUUCAUACAAUACAAAUAUACCAAAAAUAUUACAUAUAUCUCCUUCCAAUAGUUAAAAAUAUAAAAUAAAAAUCAAAGAAACUGCUCCUCCAAAGUACGCUUCGAUUGAGCACCCCCACGUCGCCUGGAAAUGAUGACAUCACGUUGUGUCAGGAGGGUUGUGAUUCCAUAGGUUUGUGUACAAAAGCAUUGGGUAUUUUAUUCCAUUUCCAUGUUAUGAAUCCAUUAUUUUUUUUCGUUUUCAGAUGAAAAUGGCACUCAAAAUUAUUCACUGUUCAAAUUUUUGUAAACCUGCAACUAUUCACUACCUUUUUUGUGAUUUCUUUGUUUGGCUCUUAUUGGGCCUAAA